This 933-nucleotide ribosomal RNA is filed under the name Pseudopithyella minuscula. RNAcentral describes it as "eukaryotic LSU rRNA". It matches the Rfam family "Eukaryotic large subunit ribosomal RNA", at positions 29 to 979 of the family's 3401-position model. Lineage: Eukaryota; Fungi; Ascomycota; Pezizomycetes; Pezizales; Sarcoscyphaceae. The record is from RNAcentral.
UGAACUAAGCAUAUCAAUAAGCGGAGGAAAAGAAACCAACAGGGAUUGCCUUAGUAACUGCGAGUGAAGCGGCAAAAGCUCAGAUUUGAAACCUGUCGCCUCUGGCGAUCGGAUUGUAAUCUGGAGAGUCGUCUUCUGGCGGGCAGCCGGUCCAAGUUCCUUGGAACAGGACGUCGGAGAGGGUGAGAAUCCCGUAUCUGGCCGGCUUGUUCUGCCUUGUGAAGUGACUUCGACGAGUCGAGUUGUUUGGGAAUGCAGCUCAAAAUGGGUGGUAAAUUUCAUCUAAAGCUAAAUAUUGGCGAGAGACCGAUAGCGCACAAGUAGAGUGAUCGAAAGAUGAAAAGCACUUUGAAAAGAGAGUCAAAAAGUACGUGAAAUUGUUGAAAGGGAAGCGCUUGAGACCAGACUCGGGUUGGGGUGAUCAGCGGUGCUUCUGUGCCGUGCACUUGCCUCCUCCCGGGCCAGCAUCGGUUGUGGCGACGGGAUAAAGACUCGAGGAAUGUGGCUCCCUCACGGGAGUGUUAUAGCCUCGGGUGUAAUGCCGCCAGCCGCGACCGAGGACCGCGCUUCGGCUAGGAUGCUGGCAUAAUGGUCUUCAGCGACCCGUCUUGAAACACGGACCAAGGAGUCUAACAUCUAUGCGAGUGUUCGGGUGUAAAACCCCUGCGCGUAAUGAAAGUGAACGGAGGUGGGAGCCCUUCACGGGGCGCACCAUCGACCGAUCCUGAUGUCUUCGGAUGGAUUUGAGUAGGAGCAUAGCUGUUGGGACCCGAAAGAUGGUGAACUAUGCCUGAAUAGGGUGAAGCCAGAGGAAACUCUGGUGGAGGCUCGCAGCGGUUCUGACGUGCAAAUCGAUCGUCAAAUUUGGGUAUAGGGGCGAAAGACUAAUCGAACCAUCUAGUAGCUGGUUCCUGCCGAAGUUUCCCUCAGGAA